This 420-nucleotide ribosomal RNA is filed under the name uncultured bacterium. RNAcentral's name for it is "bacterial SSU rRNA". It matches the Rfam family "Bacterial small subunit ribosomal RNA", at positions 355 to 774 of the family's 1533-position model. The record is from RNAcentral.
UAAGGAAUAUUGCUCAAUGGGAGAAAUCCUGAAGCAGCAACGCCGCGUGGAGGAUGAAGGGUCUAUGACUUGUAAACUCCUGUAAAGAAGGAAAAAAUUCCCAUUAGAUGGGAGAUGAUGGUACUUCUGGAGUAAGCCCCGGCUAACUACGUGCCAGCAGCCGCGGUAAUACGUAGGGGGCAAGCGUUGUCCGGAUUUACCGGGUGUAAAGGGUGCUCAGGCGGAUUUGUAAGUCAGAGGUGAAAUCUUACAGCUUAACUGUGAAACUGCCUUUGAUACUGCAAGCCUAGAGUAUGGAAGAGAGGGAUGGAAUAUCUGGUGUAGCAGUGAAAUGCGUAGAUAUCAGAUAGAACACCAAUGGCGAAGGCAGUCACUUGGUCCAUUACUGACGCUAAAGCACGAAAGCGUGGGUAGCAAACA